RNAcentral lists this unclassified non-coding RNA (1227 nucleotides) under Hevea brasiliensis (rubber tree). The record is from RNAcentral. Lineage: Eukaryota; Viridiplantae; Streptophyta; Magnoliopsida; Malpighiales; Euphorbiaceae.
GAUCAACAUGGCUUGCCAUGGUACAAGAAACAUCAUGAGCCAUACUUUCAAAUUGUCAAAAACAACAUUCUCCAGUAAAUUACUGACUUCUGUCGCUCCCUAUCAAUUUUAUUCCUCGCUACAUCAUUCACAAGUCAUACCUAAAUUACAGCAGGCAGACAACCAGAUUAUUACAGCACCUAUUUGCAAUACAAUGGCAACUUUAAUGCCCUUUCUAUCUCAUGCUAUUGCAUUAUUAUGGUUUUUAUGGCAAUAAUACAUUAAUGAAAUCCUGAUCAAUGAUUGAUUCUCCCAUACCAUCGAUGAAAUGUCCAGAGAUAAGGUGAUGGUAUGAUUACUCCCCCUUCUCCAAGAAACGGACCUGAUGAUUGACAAUUUGAACAUCUUUCAGAAGGUUUUAUGGAACCCCUUUUCUCCCUUACGCAGGAUAGUAGAUGGGUUCGUGAAGACGGUGUUUCAUUCUUGAGAUUAAGCAGAAGAUCUUCUGAUGUUGUCAUGCUCUUCAGGUACAUUCCUUGCAUCAACAAAUUCUGUCCCCUCAUCAGCACGUUCCAAUCUUCUUUCCUCUUCCUCAGCACUGCUAUGAAGAGUCCUGGGGUCUUCAUUCCUUGGCUCAGAAAGUCGGGUAGAUUGUGAUUCACCACAAGAAUCUGCUGGCCUUGAUUGAACAGAUGUUUCAUCACCAUGACUUGCCACAGAAGAAUCCUGACCAGUUUCUGCUUGACCAUUAUUAGGUAAUUCACUUGGAACUUUAGCAGAUGCAAUGAGGGAAAGGCGGCAGAGAGGGCAGGUACUGUGAUUGGCAAGCCAGCGGUCAAUGCACUCCAUGUGAAAAGUGUGGCCACAUGCAGGUAUCUGUUGAAGCCUAUCCUCUGCUUGGUAGUCCCCUAAGCAUACGGGGCAUUGUGUGUCUUUGACAGAGAAGCUCUCCUUAUACACAAUAAUGGGUAACAUCUCUCUCAUCUCUUUCUUCAAGCCCAAUUCAGCUCUAAAGAUAUCAUUGCUGUCUUGUAAAUUAGCUCGCAUUCGAAGAGAGGCCCAAUCAACACUUCUAUGGCGAAGAUAGAACAAGUAGAACAAGAAGAAGAGAAUGAAGGUGAAGAAAAUUGGCACAGAGAAGAUGAAGGUUUGAUAUAGCUUCAGUUCAGUUGAAGCUACAGAACAAGAAGAAGACAAUGUUGAGCAACAAUUAGGAGACUCUUGUUUGGAAUGAGACAUCACCAAUAA